GGGCCCGUGGCUCAAUGGUAGAGCGUUUGACUUAAUUAACAAAAGGUUGUGGGUUCGAAUCCCAGGUGGUUUA
This 73-nucleotide transfer RNA is filed under the name Schistocephalus solidus. It matches the Rfam family "tRNA". From Rfam's summary of the family: Transfer RNA (tRNA) molecules are approximately 80 nucleotides in length. Their secondary structure includes four short double-helical elements and three loops (D, anti-codon, and T loops). Further hydrogen bonds mediate the characteristic L-shaped molecular structure. tRNAs have two regions of fundamental functional importance: the anti-codon, which is responsible for specific mRNA codon recognition, and the 3' end, to which the tRNAs corresponding amino acid is attached (by aminoacyl-tRNA synthetases). tRNAs cope with the degeneracy of the genetic code in two manners: having more than one tRNA (with a specific anti-codon) for a particular amino acid; and 'wobble' base-pairing, i.e. permitting non-standard base-pairing at the 3rd anti-codon position. The record is from Rfam by way of RNAcentral. Lineage: Eukaryota; Metazoa; Platyhelminthes; Cestoda; Diphyllobothriidea; Diphyllobothriidae.